GGGCCCGCACAAGCGGUGGAGCAUGUGGUUUAAUUCGACGCAACGCGAAGAACCUUACCUGGGCUCGAACGGCUGGUCAACGACGGUGGAAACAUCGUUACUCCGCAAGGGGGUCCAGUCGAGGUGCUGCAUGGCUGUCGUCAGCUCGUGUCGUGAGAUGUUGGGUUAAGUCCCGCAACGAGCGCAACCCUUGUCCUGUGUUGCCACUCCGUAAGGAAGCACUCUCAGGAGACCGCCAGCGAUAAGUUGGAGGAAGGUGGGGACGACGUCAAGUCAUCAUGGCCUUUAUGUCCAGGGCUACACACGUGCUACAAUGGCCGGUACAAAACGACGCAAACCCGCGAGGGGGAGCAAAUCGGCAAAAACCGGUCUCAGUUCGGAUCGCAGGCUGCAAUUCGCCUGCGUGAAGCUGGAAUCGCUAGUAAUGGCGCAUCAGCAUGGCGCCGUGAAUACGUUCCCGGGCCUUGUACACACCGCCCGUCACAUCACGAAAGUGGGUUGUACUAGAAGUCUGCUAGCUAACCGUAAGGAGGCAGCGGCCCAAGGUAUGACUCAUGAUUGGGGUGAAGUCGUAACAAGGUAGCCGUAGGAGAACCUGCGGCU
Molecule: ribosomal RNA, 603 nt
Filed under: uncultured bacterium
Lineage: Bacteria
Description: bacterial SSU rRNA
Rfam family: Bacterial small subunit ribosomal RNA
Source: RNAcentral